Molecule: long non-coding RNA, 455 nt
Organism: Malurus melanocephalus (red-backed fairy wren)
Lineage: Eukaryota; Metazoa; Chordata; Aves; Passeriformes; Maluridae
Exons: 3
Source: RefSeq, a predicted model, not a curated record
CCCGACUGGGGCCGGGAUGCUGCUCCCGGGGCUCAGGGGAGCUGCCCCGGCUCGUCCCAGCCAUCUUGGGCUGGCUCCAGCCUGUGGGGGACACUUCUCCUCGCGCAGCAGCAGAGGGAAUCUGCUCAAGGCUGUUGUUUCCUGGUGAAUGUUGUGCCGUAAUGGUAUCCUGGGCAGCACUACUGGGAAGGAGCAAAUGAGCUCAGCUGGGGCCACCAGCUUUGAGGGGCUCGGGGCCCCACAGCGAAGCCUGGAUCRGCUCAAAACACCUAUCAAGGACACACCUGAAGAGAGAGAGGUCUAAGAAGUGAUGGCACAUGAGAGUCCUGCUGAAUACCGAUUCCGGGAUGCAGACAGACUGCUGGAACGAGGUGUGCCUGCACACAGGCAGCAGAAAGGGAAUGCUUCGGCACUCCAGGGAGCCUGAGCGUAUCUCAUCUGCACACUGGGUGAGU